RNAcentral lists this ribosomal RNA (1783 nucleotides) under Mannheimia haemolytica. Its description in RNAcentral is "partial 23S ribosomal RNA". It matches the Rfam family "Bacterial large subunit ribosomal RNA", at positions 1 to 1810 of the family's 2925-position model. Lineage: Bacteria; Pseudomonadati; Pseudomonadota; Gammaproteobacteria; Pasteurellales; Pasteurellaceae. The record is from RNAcentral.
AGUUAAGUGACUAAGCGCACAAGGUGGAUGCCUUGGCAAUCAGAGGCGAAGAAGGACGUGCCAAUCUGCGAAAAGCUUGGAUGAGUCGAUAAGAGGCGUUUAAUCCAAGAUGUCCGAAUGGGGAAACCCAGUAGGUGAAGAACCUACUAUCACCCAGUGAAUACAUAGCUGUGUGAGGCAAACCGGGAGAACUGAAACAUCUAAGUACCCCGAGGAAAAGAAAUCAACCGAGAUUUCGUUAGUAGCGGCGAGCGAACGCGAAAGAGCCAGUUAGUGAUAGCAGUAAAGUUAGGGGAAUGUUCUGGGAAGGACAAUCGUAGAGGGUGAUAAUCCCGUACCUUAAAACUCCAUUGUGGUACUAGGCUAACAACAAGUAGGGCGGGACACGUGAUAUCCUGUUUGAAGAUGGGGGGACCAUCCUCCAAGGCUAAAUACUCCUGAUUGACCGAUAGUGAACCAGUACUGUGAAGGAAAGGUGAAAAGAACCCCGGCGAGGGGAGUGAAAUAGAACCUGAAACCUUGUGCGUACAAGCAGUGGGAGCAAGAGUAAUCUUGUGACUGCGUACCUUUUGUAUAAUGGGUCAGCGACUUAUAUUUUGUAGCAAGGUUAACUGAAUAAGGGAGCCGUAGGGAAACCGAGUCUUAACUGGGCGUGUAGUUGCAAGGUAUAGACCCGAAACCCGGUGAUCUAGCCAUGGGCAGGUUGAAGGUUGGGUAACACUAACUGGAGGACCGAACCGACUAAUGUUGAAAAAUUAGCGGAUGACUUGUGGCUGGGGGUGAAAGGCCAAUCAAACCGGGAGAUAGCUGGUUCUCCCCGAAAUCUAUUUAGGUAGAGCCUUGAGCGGACACCUUCGGGGGUAGAGCACUGUUUCGGCUAGGGGUCCAUCCCGGAUUACCAACCCGAUGCAAACUGCGAAUACCGAAGAGUGAUACUCAGGAGACACACGGUGGGUGCUAACGUCCAUCGUGGAGAGGGAAACAACCCAGACCGCCAGCUAAGGUCCCAAAGUCUAUAUUAAGUGGGAAACGAAGUGGGAAGGCUUAGACAGCUAGGAUGUUGGCUUAGAAGCAGCCACCAUUUAAAGAAAGCGUAAUAGCUCACUAGUCGAGUCGGCCUGCGCGGAAGAUGUAACGGGGCUCAAAUAUAGCACCGAAGCUGCGGCAUCAGACGAAAGUCUGUUGGGUAGGGGAGCGUUGUGUAAGUCGAUGAAGGUGGAUUGAGAAGUCUGCUGGAGAUAUCACAAGUGCGAAUGCUGACAUAAGUAACGAUAAAACGAGUGAAAAACUCGUUCGCCGGAAGACCAAGGGUUCCUGUCCAACGUUAAUCGGGGCAGGGUGAGUCGGCCCCUAAGGCGAGGCUGAAAAGCGUAGUCGAUGGGAAACGGGUUAAUAUUCCCGUACUUGUAAUAACUGCGAUGUGGGGACGGAGAAGGUUAGGUUAGCAGACUGUUGGAUGUCUGUUUAAGCCGGUAGGUGGGAAGAUUAGGCAAAUCCGGUCUUCCUUAACACCGAGAAGUGAUGACGAGUCUCUACGGAGAUGAAGUAAUCGAUACCACGCUUCCAGGAAAAGCCACUAAGCUUCAGGUUAUUAUAAACCGUACUAUAAACCGACACAGGUGGUCAGGUAGAGAAUACUCAGGCGCUUGAGAGAACUCGGGUGAAGGAACUAGGCAAAAUAGCACCGUAACUUCGGGAGAAGGUGCGCCGGCGUAGAUUGUAGUCCCUUGCGGAUGAAGGUUGAACCGGUCGAAGAUACCAGCUGGCUGCAACUGUUUAUUAA